GACGAACGCUGGCGGCGUGCUUAACACAUGCAAGUCGAGCGGUAAGGCCCUUUCGGGGGUACACGAGCGGCGAACGGGUGAGUAACACGUGGGUGACCUGCCCUCAGCUCUGGGAUAAGCCUGGGAAACCGGGUCUAAUACUGGAUAUGACUCCAUGACGCAUGUUGUGGGGUGGAAAGCCUUGUGCGGCUGAGGAUGGGCCCGCGGCCUAUCAGCUUGUUGGUGGGGUGAGGCCUACCAAGGCGACGACGGGUAGCCGGCCUGAGAGGGCGGCCGGCCACACUGGGACUGAGACACGGCCCAGACUCCUACGGGAGGCAGCAGUGGGGAAUCUUGCGCAAUGGGCGAAAGCCUGACGCAGCGACGCCGCGUGAGGGAUGACGGCCUGG
Molecule: ribosomal RNA, 389 nt
Filed under: uncultured bacterium
Lineage: Bacteria
Description: bacterial SSU rRNA
Rfam family: Bacterial small subunit ribosomal RNA
Source: RNAcentral